AACGAACGCUGGCGGCAGGCUUAACACAUGCAAGUCGAACGCCCCUUCACGGGGGAGUGGCAGACGGGUGAGUAACACGUGGGAACAUACCCUUCGGUUCGGAACAACGUUUGGAAACGGACGCUAAUACCGGAUACGGCCUUUUGGGCGAAAGAUUGAUCGCCGAAGGAUUGGCCCGCGUUCGAUUAGCUGGAUGGCGGGGUAACGGCCCACCAUGGCGACGAUCGAUAGCUGGUCUGAGAGGAUGGCCAGCCACAUUGGGACUGAGACACGGCCCAAACUCCUACGGGAGGCAGCAGUGGGGAAUAUUGGACAAUGGGCGCAAGCCUGAUCCAGCCAUGCCGCGUGAGUGAUGACGGCCUUAGGGUUGUAAAGCUCUUUCGCACGCGACGAUAAUGACGGUAGCGUGAGAAGAAGCCCCGGCUAACUUCGUGCCAGCCGCCGCGGUAACAC
Molecule: ribosomal RNA, 453 nt
Filed under: uncultured bacterium
Lineage: Bacteria
Description: bacterial SSU rRNA
Rfam family: Bacterial small subunit ribosomal RNA
Source: RNAcentral